Molecule: ribosomal RNA, 995 nt
Filed under: uncultured bacterium
Lineage: Bacteria
Description: bacterial SSU rRNA
Rfam family: Bacterial small subunit ribosomal RNA
Source: RNAcentral
UGGGGAAUAUUGCACAAUGGGGGAAACCCUGAUGCAGCGACGCCGCGUGGAGGAAGAAGGUCUUCGGAUUGUAAACUCCUGUUGUUGGGGAAGAUAAUGACGGUACCCAACAAGGAAGUGACGGCUAACUACGUGCCAGCAGCCGCGGUAAAACGUAGGUCACAAGCGUUGUCCGGAAUUACUGGGUGUAAAGGGAGCGCAGGCGGGAAGACAAGUUGGAAGUGAAAUCUAUGGGCUCAACCCAUAAACUGCUUUCAAAACUGUUUUUCUUGAGUAGUGCAGAGGUAGGCGGAAUUCCCGGUGUAGCGGUGGAAUGCGUAGAUAUCGGGAGGAACACCAGUGGCGAAGGCGGCCUACUGGGCACCAACUGACGCUGAGGCUCGAAAGUGUGGGUAGCAAACAGGAUUAGAUACCCUGGUAGUCCACACCGUAAACGAUGAUUACUAGGUGUUGGAGGAUUGACCCCUUCAGUGCCGCAGUUAACACAAUAAGUAAUCCACCUGGGGAGUACGACCGCAAGGUUGAAACUCAAAGGAAUUGACGGGGGCCCGCACAAGCAGUGGAGUAUGUGGUUUAAUUCGACGCAACGCGAAGAACCUUACCAAGUCUUGACAUCCCUUGACAGACAUAGAAAUAUGUAUUCUCUUCGGAGCAAGGAGACAGGUGGUGCAUGGUUGUCGUCAGCUCGUGUCGUGAGAUGUUGGGUUAAGUCCCGCAACGAGCGCAACCCUUAUGGUCAGUUACUACGCAAGAGGACUCUGGCCAGACUGCCGUUGACAAAACGGAGGAAGGUGGGGAUGACGUCAAAUCAUCAUGCCCUUUAUGACUUGGGCUACACACGUACUACAAUGGCGUUAAACAAAGAGAAGCAAGACCGCGAGGUGGAGCAAAACUCAGAAACAACGUCCCAGUUCGGACUGCAGGCUGCAACUCGCCUGCACGAAGUCGGAAUUGCUAGUAAUCGUGGAUCAGCAUGCCACGGUGAAUACGUUCCC